Molecule: non-coding RNA, 5026 nt
Organism: Podarcis lilfordi (Lilford's wall lizard)
Lineage: Eukaryota; Metazoa; Chordata; Lepidosauria; Squamata; Lacertidae
Source: the annotation of a GenBank genome assembly
CCUGGAAGGUCCAAAACUUCAACCAGUAUAAACAUUAUACACAGCACUUGCAUGAAUUUUAAGAGCUAAGUUUGGUUGCUUUACCCCUCCAGCCUCACUUUGUUCAAACCUCUGUCGUUGUUUAAUACUGCCACUUUCCUGUGCUCUCCAUCCCCUCUCCCACCCUGACUUCAUGCAAAUCCAGGAUUGUGAUGCAGCAGCACAAAUCCUCCAACAGCAGCUGUGCAAAGACAGCCUUACAAGUUUAUGUAUAUAGGUAUGUGUGUGUGUGUAUCCUAGAUCCCUAGGUUACUUAGCACCAAACACAGCAAUUAUAUCAGUAAUGAAUUUGUCCAUCCAUGUCAAAUAAUAAAACGUUUUAGUGAUAUAGGUAUGUAUGUAUCAGGCUCAGAGUACCUAUUUAGCAUUCAACAGACUAACUUGCCUUCCAAGGUUUUGGCACGCUUUUCCCUUUCAAAUUAAUUUGUGUGUUAAUCCCUUGCAAGAAAUCAAUUUGAGUCCAAAAGCUCAUUAGUUUGAAUAUAUAUUUUUAAUUAGAGUAUGGUUAGCUUUGCUUUUUUAACUCCACCAAUUUCCCCCCCCAAAGUGAGCAAGCAUCUGGGCAGUAGAAUAACAAUGGGUUUGGGUUUGUUGUUCUUUGCUGCCACUCCCUUUUCUUCCAGUUGCCCCUCUUGUUUCUUAGUGGCAGUCUGAGAUUGGAAGUGUUAUCUCUAAGUGGGUGUGCUUGAAUAAUCCACAUUUGGCUCCAGAAUAUGGCAUGGAUCCUAAAAUGACUGUAUAGAAGGAAAUCACAGAAGGAAAGUGUCCCAUCCUUCCAUCCCACUGCAAUCACUGGCACUCCCUGAAAAGCCUCUCCAGAGGGCAAUGGGGACCCCCCUGAAAAAUAUGGAGUGGGAGAAAGGAGCUAAUAGGGGAGGGGGAAUCAACCAAAAUCAAGCAGAGAUUCUCCAAAUUUUGGCUGAUUCUCCUCUCCCACUGUACUCCCGCCCCAUUAUUAUUCAGAAGGGCCACAAUCCUCUGGAGAGGCUUUUCGGGGAUUCAGGCAGGUGCCUUUUGUUCACUUAUCUUAGAAUCGGAGCCUAUGAGAGCAAUCUUGUGCACACUUACGUGCGAGUAAAUUCCACUGGACACAGUGGAACAUAAAAAGGUAAAGGACCCCUGACAGUUAAGUCCAGUCGCGAAUGACUCUGGGGUUACAGCGCUCAUUUUGCUUUACUGCUGAGGUAGCCGACGUUUGGCGGCAGACAGUUUUUCCGGGUAAAGUGGCCAGCAUGACUAAGCCGCUUCUGGUGAAACCAGAGCAGCGCACGGGAAUGCCGUUUACCUUCCCGCCAGAGCAGUACCUAUUUAUCUACUUGCACUUUGAUGUGCUUUCAAACUGCUAGGUUGGCAGAAGCAGGGACCAAGCAACAGGAGCUCACCCCAUCGCGGGGAUUCGAACGGCCGACCUUCCGAUCGGCAAGCCCAAGGCUCAGUGGUUUACACCACAGUGGCACCCGCGUCCCUAUAUAGUGGGACAUACUUCUGAGUAAAUAUGCAUAGGAUCCUGCAGCAUAGCAACCAGUUGUGCUUCAAUGGAACCUGAACAAUUCACAUUUUUGGAAGAACCCAGUGAACUGCGGUUGGUGGAAACUUAGUUGAUGAAACCUUGCAAGAGGAUAGAAGUGGAGUAGGUUUCUUUGAAGAUAAGGGACUCAAAGAGCAAAUUGAUGAGUGAAGCAACCCAGGAUGUUUUAGUAAAACUGGGGAGACUUGCUUGCAAGCAGUAGCUUGGGAGGAACAGAAGGGAAGAACUGAACUCCUCCUAUUAAGUUAUUUCCAGUUAUCCUUUCAAGUGUCUCUUGCUGUGAGUCAUCCUCAAUUUUGCAAAAGUCCUGGUUUCUUUUUAUGUGUUGAGAAUGAGAUUGUCAAGGGGUUAAGAGGAGGACAUGAGGCUUUGGAAAGAGGAACAGCUUUUUAAAAAACGAAAACAGUUCGAGAUUUCUUGUAAAAGGAUAUUGAAAAUGUGUGUGGCCAGCCCAAAUGGUCUUUUUUUGCUACUCUUUCCCACUACAUUAUAAUUCCACAUUGCCCAAAUAGUUUUUCUUUUAAAACAGAAGCAGAUUUGGGAAGUGAAGGAGCAUCUGGCAAGUAGCAUUUAACUAUAAGAAAAUAAAAAAAGUUCAGCUGGAUCCAAAGGCCGCCUGGUCCAACAUUCUGUUCUCACAGUAGCCAACCAGAUACCUAUAGGAAGUCUAACAAAGGACCUUAGUUACCACAGCAUUGUUCCCAGUUAUGAUUCUGAGAAACUGGAAUUCAGAGGUAUACAGUGGUACCUCUGGUUAAGAACUUAAUUCGUUCCGGAGAUCCGUUCUUAACCUGAAACUGUUCUUAACCUGAAGCACCACUUUAGUUAAUAGGGCCUCCCGCUGCCGCCGCGCGAUUUCUGUUCUCAUCCUCUUAACCUGAGGUACUGUUUCUGGGUUAGCGGAGUCUGUAAUCUGAAGCGUCUGUAACCUGAAGCGUCUGUAACCCGAGGUACCACUGUACUGCCUCCUGCAGUAAAGCAUAACGGUUGUAGCUGCUAUUCACUGAUAGCCUUCUUCUCCAUGAAUUUGUCUAAUCCUUUUUUAAAGCCAUCCAAACUGAUGGCCCUCACUGCAUCUUGUGGGAACAAAUUAUGUAGUUUAACUAUGUGCUCUGUGAAGAAGCACUUUCUUUUCUGUCUUGAACCUUCCAAAAUUCAGCUUCAGUUGAUGGCCCCAGGUUCCAGUAUUAUGAGAGAGGGAGAAAAAGCUGUUUCUAUCCUCUUUCUGCACACAUGCAUUUGGAACUUUUGCUGGAGAAAAACAGCUAAUUUGGAGUAGAAAAAAUUACCAGUAGAGAGAGAUAAGCGCUGUGGUUUCCCUUGAAAGAGGUUCCUGUUUUUCUGCCUCAUUCACUGGGUGUUUCUUUACAAUUUUGGUGGGUGCCGGGUUGCGCUUACCAUAUAAUUUCAAAGUAGACAACAUGUGUGAGUGUGUCGCUCUCUGUGUCUGUUUCUUUCCAUUCAACAGUUCUCCAGUGCUCUGCAGCUUCUCUGGCUAUCUGUGUUUCCUGGGCUUGUUUGUUCAUACAACUCCAACUACCUGCAUGACACUUCCAAAAGUAUUAGAGGAGAAGUCCCUGCACUGAGGAACAUCCAAUUGAUAAUUCACCACGGGGGAAACAACAGAGGAAUCAGGAAAAUGGAAGCAGGUAAUCUGGCCUACGUUUUAUAGAGUCUGCAGACUUCUGAAAAUGGCAAACAUAUGUUUUUCCUUGUGUCAGCUUGAGAUUUGGAGUCCAUUUAUUCCUAGUGCUUCCAAACGGGACCUUAAUGUUCAAACAAAUCACUGAGGUAUCAUAAAAUAGUCAUUGACAAUAAGGUUUUGUUUUGUACUGUACUAAUAAUAUUUUAAGAUGUAUUGGAUUGCUCCCCAAAAGGGUAAAUUCUGAUUAAAUGCAGGGGAAAGAUGCUAGGUGACUUUUAAAUGCCAACAAUGUUGUUUUGGCCAUGCAAGAAACUUGCAUGCAGGAGGCACGCCGAUCCUACAUUAAGCACCAGUUUGGAAGCACCUUCAGUCUCUGUUCUGUUUUCUUUCUGUCAUAUUCUCUAAUUCUUUGAGUUUUAGAUUAUUUUCUGAAAAACGAGAGUUGUUACUCGCUUUGGUCAAUAAGAAAAAAGAAAUUAAAGGAAGCCUGUAUUUGUUGAAGCUGAAUUCAAAUACUGAGAGUUGUAUUUUAUAGAAAAUAAAUGGAAAUCUUUUGUGUUCAAUUUGAAAUUUCCUUUCUCUUUUUUUUAAAAAAAAGUCAUUUCUCUAGAAUGAUAUUUUGUCAGUAAUCGAGUCAGAAUAAUAUGUCCAUUAUUUUAAUACUUUGAUCACAAGCCACAAAGCAGAGAUUUGGAGUUAUUGACUGUUUUGCUUACUUUGGUGUUUCAAAAACUAUCUCUAAAGGAGGAGCAGGAUUUAAUUCUCUGCCAGUUGGAUCAUCAGCGUCUGCAUUCAGAUGGCUAACAGGUUUGUUUGGGGCUUUCAUAGAAUAAAAAUGGAUGUGCUGCAUGCUGAAUUUUGAUUAUGAAAACAUUUUGACAGAUGUUUCCAGACAGACAUGAAAGAAUUAGACCCUUUUAUCACCGCAAAAAAAUAACAACAAAACCCUGAGGUGGUUUCAGUUUACAUGCUCAAGAUUCUUUUAUCAAAUCUAUUACCCAUUUUCUUGCCUGGGUGUGCAAAAUUUGCUUGUGAUGAUCACCAACUGAAAUUAAUUCUUAAGUAUUAGUGUGUAUAGUUGAGAAUUUAAGUGCUGUAUUGUCCAGUGGUUAGAGUUCUGAGAAUAAAAUGGGGUGAUAGCUUGCUUCUUAAAAGGGCUUUUACAGUGUAUUAUUACACUGUAAGGAAAGUAUGGUAUUUUCAGUCACAAACCUACAGUUCCAAGUGCUGCACACACUGUUUAAAUCACCUGGGAGUCAAUGGGAUUUAAGCCUCAUAACUAUGUUCAAGAUUACUCCCUAACAUAAUAAAUUAGUCUAUCAGUACAUACUCUUUCUUGGAAGUAAGUGCCACAAAGCUCAAUGGGGCUUGCUCCCAGGUAGAUAGCAUAGAAUUGCUGUCUUAAUUAGCUUUCCUUUUUGACCCAUAAAAAAUCAGAAUAAGGGUGAUUUAAAAAGGACAUUGACUUGUCAGGAGUCACCACAUUUUCAACUUUUAUUUAAUAGAUCUUGUCUACAUUGAAGUGAGCUAUUACAGCUGCCCGAAAAGAAAGCACUGUUUGAUGUCUGUAAGCAUAGUCAGCAAUCAAUAAUUUGAAAUUUGUGCCAUUUGUACCUUUAAAAACUGGCACGUCGUUUUUUAUUCCAUUUAAUCUGCUUACUGUAGAUGAAAGUGGGGGUUGAACUGAUGCCACAAAGAACAUUUACUCAUGAAAUGGUGCUCGUUUAUCCAGCAGUAAGUAUAUCAUUUUGACAUUUAUUUGCAAUAUUAAUUGUACUUAUUGAUUAAAUUUUUGCACAUAUUGUAAAUUGAUU